AGGAAGAGAAAAUAAAUGAAUGAUUCCCCCAGUAGUGGCGAGCGAACGGGGAACAGCCCAAACCGUUGACGUCGCAAGGCGCCAGCGGGGUUGUAGGACCGCGACAUUGUAUGCAAAUCGUGAACAGAACACUUUGGAAAAUGUGACCAUAGACGGUGAUAGUCCAGUAUGUGAAGCGAAAUGCAGCAUAGCGGUAUCCUGAGUAACGCGGGACACGAGGAAUCCUGCGCGAAUCUGCCGGGACCAUCCGGUAAGGCUAAAUACUCCCGUGAGACCGAUAGCGAACGAGUACUGUGAAGGAAAGGUGAAAAGAACCCCGAGCAGGGGAGUGAAAUAGUUCCUGAAACCAUACGCCUACAAGCGGUCGGAGCAUCUUACGAUGUGACGGCGUGCCUUUUGCAUAAUGAUCCUACGAGUUACCGUCACUGGCGAGGUUGAGUGUCACGAGACACGUAGCCGCAGUGAAAGCGAGCCUGAACAGGGCGCAUAGUCAGUGGGGGUAGACGCGAAACCAAGUGAUCUACACUUGGCCAGGAUGAAGUCCCGGUAACACGGGAUGGAGGUCCGCACCAAUAAGCGUUGAAAAGCUUCUGGAUGAGCCGAGUGUAGGAGUGAAAGGCCAAUCAAACUUGGAGAUAGCUCGUACUCCCCGAAAGGCAUUUAGGUGCCGCGUCGGAUGGUCACCGUGAGAGGUAGAGCGACCGAUAGGACAAGAGGGCUUCACCGCCUAUCGAGUCCUGACGAACUCCGAAUGCUCACGGUCUGCAGUCCGGCAGUAAGGGGGCGGGUGCUAAGGUCCGUCCCCGAGAGGAGAAGAAUCCAGACCGCCGUCUAAGGUCCCGGAGUUCUGCCUGAGUUAGUCUAACGAAGUCUGGUCCCUAUGACAGCUAGGAUGUUGGCUUGGAAGCAGCCAUUCAUUCAAAGAGUGCGUAACAGCUCACUAGUCGAGGGUCCGGGCAUGGAUAAUAAUCGGGUAUAAGGCAGACACCGAAGGCGCGGGAUAGCAUUUAAGAAAGUAUCGGUAGGGGAGCAUACUCACAGCGUGGAAUGGUGUACGUAAGUUAUCCUGGAGCGGUGAGUAAAGCAAAUGUAGGAAUAAGUAACGAUAAGGAGGGUUAGAUUCCCUCCCGCUGUAAGACCAAGGUUUCCCGGGCAAUGCCAAUCAGCCCGGGGUCAGUCGGGUCCUAAGUCUAAGCCGAACGGCGAUGGCGAUGGCAGAGACGGUUAAUAUUCCGUCACUGCCGCAUGGGGCGACGUGGAGACGGAGCAGUGAAACCACCGCGGGGCGACGGAAGUCCCCGUUGAAGAGUGUAGGUGUUGAGGAUGGCAGGCAAAUCCACCGUCCGAGCUGAACUUGAUAGUAUGGAGUCUUCUUCGGAAGAAUCCAAUAGUGUGGGUAAUCAUACUCCCGAGAAAAUCCGCUAAGCUUAACCCAUGCGGCACCCGUACCGCAAACGGACACACGUGGUCGGGUAGAACAUACUAAGGCGUUGAGAGAUUCAUGGUUAAGGAACUAGGCAAAUUGACCCUGUAACUUCGGGAUAAAGGGUCCUCGUGAUGAGCGAGGCGCAGAGAAUAGGUCCAGGCAACUGUUUAACAAAAACACAGGGCUGUGCAAACUCGAAAGAUGACGUAUACAGCCUGACACCUGCCCGGUGCCGGAAGGUUAAGAGGAGAUGUCACUCGCAAGAGGAAGCAUUGAAUUGAAGCCCCGGUAAACGGCGGCCGUAACUAUAACGGUCCUAAGGUAGCGAAAUUCCUUGUCGGGU
This 1769-nucleotide ribosomal RNA is filed under the name human gut metagenome. Its description in RNAcentral is "bacterial LSU rRNA". It matches the Rfam family "Bacterial large subunit ribosomal RNA", at positions 214 to 1977 of the family's 2925-position model. The record is from RNAcentral.